Molecule: transfer RNA, 72 nt
Filed under: Bos taurus (domestic cattle)
Lineage: Eukaryota; Metazoa; Chordata; Mammalia; Artiodactyla; Bovidae
Also listed under: 4 other names
Rfam family: tRNA
About the family: Transfer RNA (tRNA) molecules are approximately 80 nucleotides in length. Their secondary structure includes four short double-helical elements and three loops (D, anti-codon, and T loops).
Source: Rfam by way of RNAcentral
UCCCUGGUGGCUCAGAGGUUAAAGCGUCUGCCUGCAAUGCAGGAGACCUGAGUUUGAUCCCUGGGUUGGGAA